CUAAGGGUGAAGCGAUUCACCUUGACCGUGUCGCAGAAGUCAGCAAAGGGCACAGUAGAUCCUGCUGUCGGCAAGGCUAGUGAGGCACUCCAAGGCC
This is a non-coding RNA of Chloroflexi bacterium 13_1_20CM_54_36, 97 nucleotides long. The record is from Rfam. NCBI's taxonomy places the organism in Bacteria, Bacillati, Chloroflexota.